CUUCAUGUUCUAUUUGGUUUCAGUUCUUGUUCUAUAGGACUGGGUAAUUUUUGUAGCCACCGCCUUCUGCGCAUCACAUCGUGAAGAAAAACGAAGGGUGUUUUAUCGAACCAAUCUAAGGCCGCCUCAGAUAGAUUUUUGAAAUUGCAUGAUAAGGUUACUGAUGCUAUUCCAAAACACUCUGUGAGAAAGUAGUUGGCAGUAGCUAUGUCUAUUUUUGGUCAACUCAAUGGUAUUACUAAUCUGUAUAUCUAAGUGUGUAACAUAGACCAGAUGUCCUCAUGAAUGCUUAGUUUGAAAGAGAAGCUCAAGCAUAGUGCGAGGAAGUGUCUGAGUAUGUUUAUAUGCAGUCAUUAUCCUCUUUUUUGUUAACAAGGAACAAAAUCUGGUGCAAGCUGCUCAUGAUUAAUGAGGGUCUCAUUUGAGAGCGGUGGAGUUUUUUAAUCCAUCAGUCUUUGUCAUGGUACAUUUACUUGAUUUCCACAGCCUUGUUUGCAGGGCACGUAGCUGUGAUCAUGGAUGGCAAUGUGAGGUUGGGUCAAGAGGCAUGUGGUGGGCAUAAAGAAAUCUUGUUGAGCAAUGAUCUGUGUUGGAAAUGUAGGUUAGGGUUCUGAACGUUUUUGUGCUUUUUUAUGAUAAUUGGUUUUGUUCCAAAGUUGGUUGUUAAUGAUUAUGACAAUGCAUGAGGUUCUAUGUUUCAAGAUGCAUCUGAGGGGAGCUCUAUUCGGUUUUACCUUCCUCCCUUAUAAUUUAUUAGAACUGUGAUUAUGAAGGUCUCUUUGGGAUAGGUAACAAUAUUUCUACUUUUCAGUUAGAGUGAAUGUUAAAUUGUUUAUUCUGGAACUUGUGAUUUUAGUGAUACAAUUGGUCAGGGACUAUGGAAUAAAAUGAAGCUUUUUGAUGCAGAACAGUCCACUUUCAGUGCUUUGGCUGGCACCGCAACUGAGAAGCUAUUUGGGCUGCAAUAAGUCUGGUGAAUUCUAGGUUGGUAGAUGCAAUGAAGCUAUCAUUCAAAUUACUUCUUCAUUAAGAGAACUUGGCAUCAUAGUGGAGAUGCCACAGCCUCUACAAAAUCUCUAAAAAUAAACUUUCAACGCGGCAGAUGUGUCUCCAGUAAUGAGUUCAAAGUGCAAGAGCGAGUAGACAAUAUUCCAAAAUAUGGGGAAGUGAUCAGGAGCAUGCCAAAAAGAUGAAGAGUUCAUUGCAACACUUUUCAGCAAACCAACGACCAAUAAUUUGGUUACCAGUAUGUUGGAUUUAGUACACAAGGAUCUCUAGACUGUUUUGAAUUAUUAUUGAUCUAGCUAUUUUGAAUUUAUAUUGAUUGUAAAGAAUACUUUGGGUUAAUAUA
Molecule: long non-coding RNA, 1351 nt
Filed under: Rosa chinensis
Lineage: Eukaryota; Viridiplantae; Streptophyta; Magnoliopsida; Rosales; Rosaceae
Description: sRNA RchiOBHm_Chr3g0465581
Source: RNAcentral